ACGGGGGCCCGCACAAGCGGUGGAGCACGUGGUUUAAUUCGAUGCCAACCGAAGAACCUUACCUGGACUUGACAUCCCUGGAACCUGGUAGAGAUACUGGGGUGCCCUGCUUGCAGGGAACCAGGAGACAGGUGCUGCAUGGCUGUCGUCAGCUCGUGCCGUGAGGUGUUGGGUUAAGUCCGCUAACGAGCGCAACCCUCGUCGUGUGUUAUACGUGUCACACGAUACUGCCGGUAUCAAGCCGGAGGAAGGUGGGGAUGAUGUCAAGUCAGCAUGGCCUUUAUAUCCUGGGCUACACACACGCUACAAUGGCAGAUACAAUAGGUCGCGAAACCGCGAGGUGGAGCCAAUCCUCAAAGUCUGUCUCAGUUCAGAUUGUAGGCUGCAACUCGCCUGCAUGAAGUCGGAGUUGCUAGUAAACGCAGGUCAGCUAUACUGCGUUGAAUACGUUCCCGGGGUUU
RNAcentral lists this ribosomal RNA (461 nucleotides) under uncultured Leptolinea sp. Its description in RNAcentral is "bacterial SSU rRNA". It matches the Rfam family "Bacterial small subunit ribosomal RNA", at positions 913 to 1382 of the family's 1533-position model. The record is from RNAcentral. Lineage: Bacteria; Bacillati; Chloroflexota; Anaerolineae; Anaerolineales; Anaerolineaceae.